Molecule: ribosomal RNA, 826 nt
Filed under: uncultured bacterium
Lineage: Bacteria
Description: partial 16S ribosomal RNA
Source: RNAcentral
UCGAACAGCUAGUAUCCAUCGUUUACGGCGUGGACUACCAGGGUAUCUAAUCCUGUUCGCUCCCCACGCUUUCGUCCCUCAGCGUCAAUAUAGUGUUAGUGAUCUGCCUUCGCAAUUGGUAUUCUGUGUAAUAUCUAUGCAUUUCACCGCUACACUACACAUUCUAAUCACUUCACACUAAUUCAAGAAACCCAGUAUCAAUGGCAAUUUUACAGUUGAGCUGUAAGAUUUCACCACUGACUUAGAUUCCCGCCUACGGACCCUUUAAACCCAAUGAUUCCGGAUAACGCUCGGACCCUCCGUAUUACCGCGGCUGCUGGCACGGAGUUAGCCGGUCCUUAUUCUUAUAGUACCGUCAGCUUCUCACACGUGAAAAGGUUUCUUCCUAUAUAAAAGCAGUUUACAACCCAUAGGGCCGUCUUCCUGCACGCGGCAUGGCUGGAUCAGAGUUACCUCCAUUGUCCAAUAUUCCUCACUGCUGCCUCCCGUAGGAGUCUGGUCCGUGUCUCAGUACCAGUGUGGGGGAUCCCCCUCUCAGGGCCCCUACCUAUCGUUGUCUUGGUAAGCCGUUACCUUACCAACUAACUAAUAGGACGCAUACUCAUCUUAUACCGCCGAAGCUUUACUAUUUAUAUAAUGCUAUAUUAAUAGACCAUGAGGUAUUAAUCUUCAUUUCUAAAGGCUAUCCCUCUGUAUAAGGCAGAUUGUAUACGCGUUACGCACCCGUGCGCCGGUCGUCAGCAAGUAGCAAGCUACCUCUGUUACCCCUCGACUUGCAUGUGUUAAGCCUGCCGCUAGCGUUCAUCCUGAGCCAGGAUCAAACUCU